RNAcentral lists this long non-coding RNA (1232 nucleotides) under Cricetulus griseus (Chinese hamster). RNAcentral's name for it is "lncRNA (ENSCGRG00015021417.2)". Lineage: Eukaryota; Metazoa; Chordata; Mammalia; Rodentia; Cricetidae. The record is from RNAcentral.
AAACAGAAAGUGUCCCUUUUCCCCUCUGCUCUUCCUCCAGCAGUGCAGUGUGGUCCACUGGCAAGAGAAGGUGACAGCAGAAGGCAUCCUCUAUAAGGGUGCUGCGAGGGAAGAACACUGUUAAGUGAGCCAUGUGAGUGAGGGAUUUAUCUCCUGCUUAUGAAACAGUCAGCUCCUUUCUCAGCUUCAAAGAGAACAAAAAGCCCUCACCCAGUGGCUGAUGGAAGCAGAGGCAGACACCCACAGAUAUACACUGAACUGAACUCUGGAACUUUGUUGAACCCAAUGACAGCUCUGGAGAAGAUAUCACUGCCAAAGAAAAUGAAAGCAGCCUGGAAAUAUAAGCAUAAGACAGAGAAAAUACAACAGUCAGGGCAGAGAAUGUUAGCUCCAGGAAAAAAAUUGAAGAGAGGAAAAGGUCUGAAGAGCUCUUAUGUCAAGUCUAGAUUCUUUUCAGCUCUUUGUUAAAGCACCAAGAUAAACAGACCAGGGUGAACCUACUGGAAAAACAAACACAUGUGUAUACUUUAGACAUUGGAAAUAAGACAUCUGAUCAUCAAAACAAGCAUCAGCUGUGUGUGACUCUUUUGGCUCUCUGAAGAUCAAGAAGUCAAAUGGGUUUAAAGACUGGCUCUACUGUUAAGAGGACUUUGGGAGCCCAUUCACUAUGGAGGGAUACUAUUGCAGCCCAGAUACAGCAAGGAGGGCCUAGGCCCUCCCCCAAAUGAUAUGACAGACUUGGAAGGUCCCUUGUGGAGGACCUCACUAUCCCUGGGGAGAAGUUAGGGGGUUGGGAGUAACAUGGGAGGAUGGGAAGUCAAGGGAAUGGGGGGAUGGAUAUGUAAAUAUCAGUAGUAAUUAAAGAAUUAAAAAAAAGAAGUCAAAUAGUUCAAUUGGAAUUGCUGAACCAGCGUCAUGAGUUUGCUUUCAUAGUGGCAUUGUUCACUCUCCAGGGAGGCCCUUAAAACGGGAAAAUUUCCCUCACCCUAAAGUCCAGCUGCUGCAAACUAAAACCUAGUGGAAUGUCUCAAGCACACCAUGUGGUACCUAAUCACCUACUAUUGAGAUCUGCUGGUCCAUGUUGACCACUGUAGGAAGCAGCAGAUAUUUCUCACUCUUAUACCAGAAAAUUCUGGACAGUAGUCUAUGUUUGCUUAUGGACACUUGGAAUCACACCUUCCAUCUCUUGCAUAAGCAUCUACCCAUCAACCACUCGCACUCUGGCAUGCCAG